UUCGGUAUCCUGUGUUGCUUACCUAUCGAAAGGAAUCCGACGGUUUUGUUGGUCCCUCUCCGCCCUAUGCCCUCGCGGGUUGUGGGGUGGACGUCAGGCAAGCCUCGUGUUCCCGGCACGCUUCGCCCAGUUGCGUGGCUGCCUCGGCCCACGGGGUGCACUGCCCGUGCUCUCGGAUGCGGAACGUUAUGCGUGGGCGUGGGGUCUGUUGGCUCCGUUCGCCCGAGCAACGCACUUGUCCAUCGACGCGAACGACCGUCGCUCCCGUCUCGAGCCCGCGGCCGUCCGGCCCGUACGGGUCUCGUGCGGGCGUCGACGUCGCGAAGGAAUGCUACCUGGUUGAUCCUGCCAGUAGUCAUAUGC
This 363-nucleotide unclassified non-coding RNA is filed under the name Bursera simaruba (gumbo limbo). RNAcentral describes it as "partial external transcribed spacer". Lineage: Eukaryota; Viridiplantae; Streptophyta; Magnoliopsida; Sapindales; Burseraceae. The record is from RNAcentral.